RNAcentral lists this ribosomal RNA (433 nucleotides) under Salmonella enterica subsp. enterica serovar Typhimurium. RNAcentral's name for it is "bacterial SSU rRNA". It matches the Rfam family "Bacterial small subunit ribosomal RNA", at positions 648 to 1080 of the family's 1533-position model. The record is from RNAcentral. Lineage: Bacteria; Pseudomonadati; Pseudomonadota; Gammaproteobacteria; Enterobacterales; Enterobacteriaceae.
CUUGUUGAGGGUGGUAGAAUUCCAGGUGUAGCGGUGAAAUGCGUAGAGAUCUGGAGGAAUACCGGUGGCGAAGGCGGCCCCCUGGACAAAGACUGACGCUCAGGUGCGAAAGCGUGGGGAGCAAACAGGAUUAGAUACCCUGGUAGUCCACGCCGUAAACGAUGUCUACUUGGAGGUUGUGCCCUUGAGGCGUGGCUUCCGGAGCUAACGCGUUAAGUAGACCGCCUGGGGAGUACGGCCGCAAGGUUAAAACUCAAAUGAAUUGACGGGGGCCCGCACAAGCGGUGGAGCAUGUGGUUUAAUUCGAUGCAACGCGAAGAACCUUACCUGGUCUUGACAUCCACAGAACUUUCCAGAGAUGGACUGGUGCCUUCGGGAACUGUGAGACAGGUGCUGCAUGGCUGUCGUCAGCUCGUGUUGUGAAAUGUUGGGU